CCAGACUCCUACGGGAGGCAGCAGUGGGGGAUAUUGCACAAUGGGGGGAACUCUGACGCAGUGACGCCGCGUAUAGGAAGAAGGUUUUCGGAUUGUAAACUAUUGUCAUUAGGGAAGAUAAAAGACUGUACCUAAGGAGGAAGCCCCGGCUAACUAUGUGCCAGCAGCCGCGGUAAUACAUAGGGGGCAAGCGUUAUCCGGAAUUAUUGGGUGUAAAGGGUGCGUAGACGGGACAGCAAGUUAGUUGUGAAAGCCCUCGGCUUAACUGAGGAACUGCAACUAAAACUAUUGUUCUUGAGUGCAGGAGAGGAAAGCGGAAUUCCUAGUGUAGCGGUGAAAUGCGUAGAUAUUAGGAGGAACACCAGUGGCGAAGGCGGCUUUCUGGACUGUAACUGACGUUGAGGCACGAAAGUGUGGGGAGCAAACAGGAUUAGAUACCCCGGUAUA
RNAcentral lists this ribosomal RNA (447 nucleotides) under uncultured bacterium. Its description in RNAcentral is "bacterial SSU rRNA". It matches the Rfam family "Bacterial small subunit ribosomal RNA", at positions 331 to 794 of the family's 1533-position model. The record is from RNAcentral.